UACAGAGGGUGCAAGCGUUAAUCGGAAUUACUGGGCGUAAAGCGUGCGUAGACGGUUAUGUAAGUCGGGUGUGAAAGCCCCGGGCUCAACCUGGGAAUGCCAUUCGAGACUGCAUAGCUAGGGUGCGGAAGAGGGAAGCGGAAUUUCCGGUGUAGAGGUGAAAUUCGUAGAUAUUGGGAAGAACACCGGUGGCGAAGGCGGCUAUCUGGACCGACAUUGACGCUGAGGCGCGAAAGCGUGGGGAGCAAACAGG
RNAcentral lists this ribosomal RNA (253 nucleotides) under uncultured bacterium. RNAcentral's name for it is "partial 16S ribosomal RNA". It matches the Rfam family "Bacterial small subunit ribosomal RNA", at positions 524 to 776 of the family's 1533-position model. The record is from RNAcentral.